Molecule: long non-coding RNA, 2277 nt
Filed under: Drosophila guanche
Lineage: Eukaryota; Metazoa; Arthropoda; Insecta; Diptera; Drosophilidae
Source: RNAcentral
GGCUCUGCAUUUUGUUGUUGAUGAUGUUAGCAUUCUGGCCCGACACAAGAUACACCGCAUCAUCAGCAUAAGUAGCCAGCAUUUGGUUGCUUGUAGUAGGAGGGGUUGGUAUGUCAGCAGUGUAUACAUUAUACAGUACAGGUCCAAGAACACUGCCUUGUGGAACUCCGGCCGAGACUGUCUUCAAUGAGGAUGUGGCUUUAUAUGUAGUGACCUUGAACGUUCUGUUAGCUAAGUACGAAGUAAGUAACUUGAGAAGUCUUUCCGGUAAUAGUUUUUUCAGCUUGUAGAUAAGUCCAUCAUGCCAAACACGAUCAAACGCUUCCUGGACAUCAAGAUAGACUGCCGAGCAGUGCAUCUUUUCCUCUUGCGAUUUAAGGAUGAAUUGGGUCACUCUACCAAUCUGCUGUUCAGCCGAGUGCGCCUCCCUAAAUCCAAACUGGUGAUUUGGUAUGGCCUUUUCAAAACUAUCAACCUCAAAUAGACGAUAUAGGAUGAGUUUCUCCAGCAGUUUGGAAAGUCCAGACAGAAGGCUAAUGGGUCUAUAAGAUGACAGCUGAUGAGGUGGUUUACCUGGCUUCAGUAUCAUGGUGACCGAUGCAGUUUUCCAUGCUUUUGGAAAGUGGCCAAACAACAGAGCGGCAUUAAAGAUUAGCGUCAGAUAGGUAAUAGCGGAAGUCGGAAGCGCCUUUAUAGCACGAUUGCAUAUGCGAUCAGGUCCGGGUGACUUUUUUAACUCCAGUUUCUUAAUUGCGUCUUGAACCUCGCUGAUCGAGAACGGUCUGACCUGCUCUUGGUCUGCUGUGCUGGGAAACAGAAGGCCCUCCUCAACUUCCCUUCUGUCUUCUGGUUCUGCAGUGAUUCUGGGAGAAAAGCGCAACUCCAGAUGCUGCGCGAAGGCUUCCGCCUUCUCUUCCGUGCUCUUGCACCAGGGAUCAGCAAGUUCUGGUUGGCCGUCAGGCAAAUGUUUGCGAACAGGAAGGUUCGGGGCAGGUUGCCUCUUAAUGGAGUUUGUAAUAGUCCACAGCUUCUGCAUCUUGUAUCUGUCGGUAGGAUCAAUGCUUUGCAGUAGAUGGUCCAAUUUCCGAGAUUUAAUCAGCUUCACUUGUUUAGAUAUUCUGUUAGAUAGGCUAUUCAAGGUAAGUUUAAGCACAGGGCUUUUGUUUGCCGCGUACAUUUUGCUGAUCAGCUUCUUUGCCUCUAUCAUUUUGAGUGUACGCCUAUCUAGCUGGAGCUGUUGAUGACAAUGCUGAUAGCUAAUGGGCCGUGCAGCACUUUCGGCAGCGUUGAGGAUGUUCCUUUGCAGGAUUUCGACCGCAUCAUCCACGUCCUCACCACAGAGCAGCUCAGUCUCGACAUGAAUGUGUUGAUCGAGGUAGGAUUGAUACUUUUUUAAGUUGGAGCGUUCCGAAAAGAGCAAUUUUUCUUUUACAGGGACUGGCUUCUGAAGGAGUCUGAUGAUCUGUGGAACGUGAUCAGAUCCUAGUUCUUGAGAGGCAGAUAUCUUAAUAAGGUUGGAUCGGAUCCCUUGAUAUACGCAGAAGUCAAUAGCUGAUGGUGCAUGUCUUUUGUUAUUGGGAAAGUGGGUGGGCGAACCAGUGGCAAGGAUGUUAGUGCCACUGGUUUGUAUACAUCUUAAGAGAGUUGUUCCACGUUUGCAGGAUUUGACAUUGCCCCACCACUGGCUUUUGGCAUUCCAGUCACCAGCAACAAUAAAACAGCUGCCCAGCGACUUAAACAGCUCCUUGUAUUGGUCUUCUGUCCACUCGUAGGUGGGAGGGCAGUAUAUAGAGGCAACUCUCAGGGGAGCACCCUUUGGCGUGGUCAGCGAGAUCGAAGCUAUCUGCACCUGAUCUUCAACGCGAGGAAACAGGUUUGAGUGGGCAAUGGUCUUUCUUAUAAGAACUGCUGCACCUCCUUGUCGGCGAUUUCUUGGAUGGUUAGCGGCAUACAUGUGGAAUCCAUCUAUGUUUACAUCAGCAGUAUUAUUCAUGUGUGUUUCACAUAUCAACAGUAUAUCAAUAUGUUGAUUGGCUAGAAAGGUUUCAACUUCUAAGAGCUUAUUGGAUAAGCCCGCAGCAUUCCAGAAGGCUAUCCUGAUUUCAUGGGUGUUAUUAGGCAUUUUGAAUCUCAUUGGCUCGUAUCUCGGCAGGAAGACGGGCAAUGAGAGUAUAUAGCAUGUUCUCUAGCGAUGUUAACCUUUUUUCCAGGUUUGUUUCCGAGCUUGAGCUAGGUUUUUUUAUCUUUCCAGCUCCAGUGGAACUGACAACUAAGUUC